This 1164-nucleotide ribosomal RNA is filed under the name Triticum aestivum (bread wheat). Its description in RNAcentral is "partial small subunit ribosomal RNA". The record is from RNAcentral. Lineage: Eukaryota; Viridiplantae; Streptophyta; Magnoliopsida; Poales; Poaceae.
AUGGCGCCCUCACCGCCAAGGACCGCAUGCAUUCACCGCCACCGUCCAUUCUUCCGACUUCUAGUCCUCGUGCUCGCAGGAAUCCGGCCCGCCUCGUCGCAGUUCAUCUUCACGCCGCCGACGGCCGGAGCGACCUUCGCUUGGGCGUCAACCCCGCCCCCGCCCCCGCCGCCAGCUGCCGGGGGACUUGGCAGCGGGACCUUCAACGUUGCCACCUCGAUCCUCUUUGUGGGCGUGAUCGUGGCCCUCUUCUUGGUCGGCUUCUUCUCCGCGUACCUCCGCCGCUGCGCGGACGCCGCCACGGGCGCGCGCCGAGGUGGGGCCGCCGCGAACGCCAAUGCUGCCGUCGCGGCCGCUGCAGCGGCCGCAUUCUCGUCCGCGGUUAGCCGUAGCAGGAGGCGUCCCGGGCUCGACGUCGCCGCGGUGGAGGCGCUGCCGGUGCUGACGUACGCGAGGGCGAGGGCGGUCAAGGCGGGCCGCGGGGCUCUGGAGUGCGCGGUGUGCCUCGCCGAGUUCGCUGACGACGGGGAGAAGCUCCGUCUCCUCCCCGGGUGCUGCCAUGUCUUCCACGCGGCGUGCAUCGACGUGUGGCUCGCGGCGCACGUCACCUGCCCAGUGUGCCGAGCCGAUUUGGCCGACCCGGCCGUCGCCGCCGCCGGCCACGUCCUAGCGGCUGACCUCGCUGCUCAGCAGGCAGAGACGGCGGAGGAGCGCGUGGAUCGGUUCACGCUGCGGCUGCCGGAGAGGCUGAGGAGGGAGAUCGAGGACGCGAAGCGGCUUCGCAGAGCGAUGAGCGCGGUGACCACCGCGGCAGCGGCAAGCACGUCAAGCGGGCGGUGGGUGCCGUCGGCGUUACGGACAAUGUCGGCAGCGCGUCCUAGCGGUCGAUGGUCGGCGCUGUUCCGCGCGUUGUCGGGACCACACCGAAACGAGCUGGGCGGCAGCAGCCGGAGGGUGGCGCCGGUGCAAACUCACGCCGCCAGCGGUGACGCGGUGGAGGUGGUGGUGGUGCAGGACGACGCCGGGCAAGAGGAGAAGUACUAUGCGCACAGCCUCACGUUCGCCGGGUUCGUCAUUGACGGUGACGUCGCAGCUGGCGACUGGAACCCGGAGGUCUUCCAGAUCUUCUCUGCCGUCCCGGUGGCGGCGACGUCGCAGCGAUGA